Molecule: ribosomal RNA, 606 nt
Filed under: Triticum aestivum (bread wheat)
Lineage: Eukaryota; Viridiplantae; Streptophyta; Magnoliopsida; Poales; Poaceae
Description: partial small subunit ribosomal RNA
Source: RNAcentral
AUGACACAACAGAAAAAAACUGGCGGUCUCGGGUUCAGAGACUUGCAUGGGUUUAACUUGGCCAUGCUUGCUAAGCAGGCAUGGAGGAUACUCACUGAACCAGAGUCCCUCUGUGCACGGGUGUUGAAAGCCAGGUACUUCCCGAACACCUCGAUCCUGGAGGCACAAGCUAACCAAGGGAUCUCUUACACUUGGAGAAGUAUUCUCAAAGGGGUUGAGUUGUUGAAAGGGGGACUUAUCUGCAGAAUCGGGGAUGGAACCAGUGUUAAAAUUUGGUCUGAUCCUUGGCUGAAUAGAGAGGGUUCUCGGCGACCGAAGACAGAGCGGGGUAGAUGCUUGCUGACUAGGGUCUGUGAACUGAUCGACCCGGAUACAGGCUCAUGGGAUGAACAGCUGGUGCGAUACAUUUUCGUAAGCGAAGAUGCAAAGGUGAUCCUGUCUACACCCAUAAGACAUGACUUUGAUGACUUCUACGCAUGGUUUUUUGAUAGCAAAGGUACAUUCACGGUGCAGUAUGCAUACAAGCUGUAUAUUAGAUUGCGUGAUGCGGGGCUGCUGUCCACAUCCCACCCUGUUGAUGGUGACAUCGAUUGGAGGAACAUAUGA